RNAcentral lists this ribosomal RNA (498 nucleotides) under uncultured bacterium. Its description in RNAcentral is "partial 16S ribosomal RNA". It matches the Rfam family "Bacterial small subunit ribosomal RNA", at positions 29 to 507 of the family's 1533-position model. The record is from RNAcentral.
ACGAACGCUGGCGGCGUGCUUAACCCAUGCAAGUCGAACGGGCCCGCUCUCUUUUUUGGGGGUGGGUUGAGUGGCGAACGGGUGAGUAUCACGUGAGUAACCUGCCCCCUGCUCCUGGAUAACUGCUUGAAAGGGCGGCUAAUACGGGGUGUGCCGGCUGGUCCGCAUGGGCCUGGUCGGGAUAGUUUCAUCUUCGGGUGUUUCGGUGGGGGAUGGGCUCGCGGCCUAUCAGCUUGUUGGUGGGGUGAUGGCCCACCAAGGCGGUGACGGGUAGCCGGCCUGAGAGGGUGGGCGGCCACACUGGGACUGAGACACGGCCCAGACUGCUGCGGGAGGCAGCAGUGGGGGGUAUUGCACAAUGGGCGGAAGCCUGAUGCAGCGACGUCGCGUGAGGAAUGGAGGCCUUCGGGUUGUGAACCUCUUUCUCCGGUGGUGAAGGCCCUGUCCGUUGCGGCGGGGUUGACGGUAGCCGGGUAUGAAGCGCCGGCUAACUACGUG